AAACCCGCCCCUCCGGCCGGCCUGGGCCCGCCCCGGCCGGCUCCGGGCGCCCCGAGCCCCGCCCCGGGCACGCACAGCUGCGGGACGGGCACGUACCAUUUAAAUAAUGGCGCCAAGCUGCGAGGUUUGACAGAUACUCCCCCGUCGGCUUCCCCGCCCCCAUCCCCGGCAGCCAGCGCCUCCCGGGAAGGGCCAGGGCCCGAGGGACGCUGGCCAGCGCCCCGCCCCUUCGCGACCAGCAGGCCCUUUCAGCAAAGCUUCGUGCGGCGGUCCUGGACACAAUACCGCCCCCUCCCCCAACCAGCAGGGGGUUUGCGGCACCUGCCACCUGCGAGGCCCCAGGUGGUCGAAAGCAACGACCCGUGACCUGGAAGGAGCAAGUGAAGCAGUUCUACGGUUGUUGGCUCCGAUCGUCAGGAUAACGUGGUGUCAGGUGAGCAAUGAGAAAGAAGUAACCAAGACAAUUUGGUACCAGGAGUGGGGUUGUUGCUAUGACUAUACCCAACCAUGUGGUUCAAGAGCCUUUGGGAAUGCCUGUGGGAAACAGUAUGGAAAGAUUCAGAGAUGUGAAUUGAAACAGGAGAACUGGAAUGCCUUGGGCUAUUCUGUGUAGAUUUUGGUCAGAGCUCAGAAGACAAGAAGGCUAAUAGAAAUCUUGCUGGUAAAGACCAGAUUCAUGAGGUUUGUCCUGGAAAGAAGGGCUGCAUUGGUUGUUGGACUCCAGAAAAUGUGUGUUUGUCUGCAUUUUCCUCAUGUCCAGAGAAUUUACCUGAGAUUGAAAGUAAGGGUGGUGGACUAAUUAAUCUGGCAGAAUAAAUUUCAAGGCAGUCUAAUGUUGAGGCAGUAGCAUGGCUACUGAUAGGGGCUUUGAGACAGAUCUAUGUUAAGAAUCAAGAGCAAAGAACUCAGCAGAAUUACUUUAAAUGUUGUGAGUUUGGCCAGAAAGGAAGUGCCAGUAAAGCUGUAGACUACCAAGAUAGAACUGAGGAAAUAUCAAUUGCUAAGAAGGAACAAGAGAAUGUAAAAGAUGGCCUGAGGGCAUCACAAGAAGCAGCAAGUUUCCACUUUUUGCAGCCUCAAAACUGCAAAAGUGAAAGACAUGCUUUGAGGAAAAAGGUGCAGAACACCAUGUUUCAGAAUGUCAGCAGGAGCCAGGAACUUAGCUCAACAGUUCAAGUGUUUGCUUGGUAAGCUCCAGAUUGUGAGUUUGAUCCCCAGUACAAAAAAAAAAAAAAAAAAGCAUGUCAGCAGCACAAAAAAUUUGUUUUUCAGAAUUGGAAUCAGAGUGACCAGGGAUCAAAGCACUUGACCCCUACAACCAAAAGAGAGGACAGCCUGGCUACUCUCCAGCUGGCAGCAGAGCUUGGCAUCAUCCACAUGGCUCUGGUUUUAGGCACAUACAGAAUGUAAGAAUUGUGGGAUUAAAAAGGUUUUUACUUCAGGGGCUGGGGAUUUAGCUCAGCAGCAUAAAGCACCUGCCUGACAAGUGUGAGGUUGUGAGUUCAAUCCCCAGUACCGCAAAAAAAAAAGUUUUCAGGCAUUAUGCCCCUGAGAGGGCAAUGUGUAAAACUAUGAGUGUGAAGCCAAAGUUGCAGUGGAGACCCCGGAAAUUUGGAAAAGCCAGGAAUGUGGAUUUUCUGAGGAAACCUGCAAGGAGGGAGCAGAGCAGUCCCAAGAGAGAAGCCAUGGGAGUUAUAAUCACCGUAAGUGCCAUAGGGGUGCAGCCAUCCAAGACCUUUGGAGCUCACAAUGUGCCACAGAUUGCCUGAGAUACUGCACAUGGAACUGCAGGACUUAAAUGUUUGCCAUGCUAAAUUUUGGACUUGCUUUGGUCUCAAUCAUUUGUAGUCCCCUGUUUGCAACUUUUGGAAUGAAAAUGUUUAUCUCAUGCCAUGGAAUGUUGGAAGUGUUUAACUUUUCAUUUCUACGGGGGCUUGCAGAUAAAAGUUUGCCUUAUAUCUCAGAGGAGACUUGGGACUUGGACUUUUCAGCAAUGCAGAAACUGUUAGGAUUUUGGCAACUCUUGCAGGUUGACUAAAAUGCCUUUUGCAUAAAGGGAUAUGUAUGAGGUUGGCGGGGCUGGGGUAAAAUAUUAUGGUUCUAAUGUAGUAUAAUGUUGACAGACUUAAUACAGGUUCUUAAGGAUUGUUAAAUCUGUGUUACAAUGCUCAAGUUGAAAAAUGUUAAGUAGUCUUUGUAUCUGAAAACCUGUUUACAGAAGUGUGUCUGGUUGGCAAGUUGACAAGGGGUAAAAGGUAAGAGUUGACACAUUGUGUCAACUUGAGAAGCUUAGAAUUUUAACAAAGUGAGUUUGUAAACAUCUUCAUCCUGUGCAGGAAGAAGGCACAGAGAUAGUGUGAUUGCUACACCUGCCCUGGGGCAGGUAGCCUACUUACAAUAUAAGGGAGAAAAAGAACUCACUUCUCCCCACCUUUUGCUUUUGUUGAUUUUGCUGUAACCUCAUGCCAUGCCACCCUGCCUUGAAGCCAGCUGAUUGUGGACUGAAACUUUCGUAAGCCAUUAGCUAAAUAAACCUUUUCUCCCUUAA
This is a long non-coding RNA of Cavia porcellus (domestic guinea pig), 2548 nucleotides long. RefSeq lists it as uncharacterized. The transcript is spliced from 2 exons. The record is from RefSeq and is a predicted model, not a curated record. NCBI's taxonomy places the organism in Eukaryota, Metazoa, Chordata, Mammalia, Rodentia, Caviidae.